This 674-nucleotide ribosomal RNA is filed under the name Purpuricenus temminckii. RNAcentral's name for it is "eukaryotic LSU rRNA". Lineage: Eukaryota; Metazoa; Arthropoda; Insecta; Coleoptera; Cerambycidae. The record is from RNAcentral.
UUCAGGGGUAAACCUGAGAAGCCCGAAAGGUCGAAAGGGGAAAUUCAUUCGCGUUUCGGCCGCCGAAGUGGGAUGGUCGAGUGACGGACGGCGUAUUCGCGUCGUCCGCGCCUUUCGUUCUUCGAAUCGGCGUCGAACGCGUGCACUUUUCCCCUAGUAGGACGUCGCGAUCCGUUGGGUGUCGGUCUACGGUUCGCGGUGGUGCCCGUGCGGUCGCUUUGCGGCGUAUCGCACGGACCCGCGGUGUCCCGGCCGACUCGCUCGACGGUAUACAGAUGGCGCGGGGCCGCUAAUAAUUCAAUUAGCGUUCGACCCGUGGCAAGCGCGUUCGGUGAGAGAGACGGCGAUCGGACCUGGUGCCGGUCCCGUCCACGAACGACUGUUGGCCACGGUGUUCUUUCUCGAACAGACCUCGUUCGAAACGCCGAUCUGCGACGCUAUAGCUUUGGGUACUUUCAGGACCCACGGACCAAGGAGUCUAGCAUGUGCGCGAGUCAUUGGGACAUAACUAAACCUAAAGGCGUAAUGAAAGUGAAGGUCCGCCUCGCGCGGAUCGAGGGAGGAUGAGCGGGUCAUUAUUAAUAUUUUUUAAUAAUGAUGGACGCCUUCAAAAGCGACCGCUCCGCACUCCCGGGGCGUCUCGUUCUCAUCGCGAGAAGAGGCGCACCAAGAGC